Molecule: long non-coding RNA, 280 nt
Filed under: Fukomys damarensis (Damara mole-rat)
Lineage: Eukaryota; Metazoa; Chordata; Mammalia; Rodentia; Bathyergidae
Description: lncRNA (ENSFDAG00000029137.1)
Source: RNAcentral
CGGAUCUGUAGACCCAGCCCAGCCUGGUCAAGGGAAGAGAGUUCCCGCAGUGCUCAGUUGUGAGAGCAGCAAGGGUGGUCAUCCAUGCUGUCCCUGAAAGGGUUCACAUGAUCCUGUGGAAGCCUGCCCAGACCCUACAGGGAGAAGAGAUGAAGACAAGAUGAAAAUAAGUUUCAUGUACAGUGGAAAGUUCCUGCUGGAGGCAUAAAGGUGAAAAGCAUUUUCCUCAAAUAACACUUUUUUAAGAAAAUAAAUACACAAAACAUCACUAGAACACAGA